This 460-nucleotide ribosomal RNA is filed under the name uncultured bacterium. Its description in RNAcentral is "partial 16S ribosomal RNA". It matches the Rfam family "Bacterial small subunit ribosomal RNA", at positions 338 to 795 of the family's 1533-position model. The record is from RNAcentral.
CCUACGGGGGGCAGCAGUGAGGAAUAUUGGUCAAUGGACGAGAGUCUGAACCAGCCAAGUAGCGUGAAGGAUGACUGCCCUAUGGGUUGUAAACUUCUUUUAUAAAGGAAUAAAACGAGGCACGUGUGCCUGUUUGCAUGUACUUUAUGAAUAAGGAUCGGCUAACUCCGUGCCAGCAGCCGCGGUAAUACGGAGGAUCCGAGCGUUAUCCGGAUUUAUUGGGUUUAAAGGGCGCGUAGAUGGGUUGUUAAGUCAGUUGUGAAAGUUUGCGGCUCAACCGUAAAAUUGCAAUUGAUACUGGCAGUCUUGAGUACAGUUGAGGUAUGCGGAAUGCGUGGUGUAGCGGUGAAAUGCUUAGAUAUCACGAAGAACCCCGAUUGCGAAGGCAGCUUACUAAACUGUGACUGACAUUGAUGCUCGAAAGUGUGGGUAUCAAACAGGAUUAGAUACCCUUGUAGUC